GACGAACGCUGGCGGCGUGCUUAACACAUGCAAGUCGAACGGAAAGGCCCUGCUUUUGUGGGGUGCUCGAGUGGCGAACGGGUGAGUAACACGUGAGUAACCUGCUCUAGACUUUGGGAUAACUUCAGGAAACUGGGGCUAAUACCGGAUAGGAGAUCCUGCUGCAUGGUGGGGGUUGGAAAGUUGCGGCGGUUGGGGAUGGACUGGCGGCUUACGAGCUUGUUGGUGGGGUAGUGGCUUACCAAGGCUUUGGCGGGUAGGCGGCCUGGGAGGGUGGCCGGCGACAUUGGGACUGAGAGACGGCGCAGACUCCUACGGGAGGCAGCAGGGGGAAAUAUUGCACAAUGGGCGGGAGCCGGAUGCAGAGACGCCGCGUGCGGGAUGACGGCCUUCGGGUUGUAAACCGCUUUCGCCUGUGACGAAGCGUGAGUGACGGUAAUGGGUAAAGAAGCACCGGCUAACUACGUG
RNAcentral lists this ribosomal RNA (468 nucleotides) under uncultured bacterium. RNAcentral's name for it is "partial 16S ribosomal RNA". It matches the Rfam family "Bacterial small subunit ribosomal RNA", at positions 28 to 507 of the family's 1533-position model. The record is from RNAcentral.